This 79-nucleotide transfer RNA is filed under the name Actinomycetota bacterium. RNAcentral describes it as "tRNA-OTHER". It matches the Rfam family "tRNA". From Rfam's summary of the family: Transfer RNA (tRNA) molecules are approximately 80 nucleotides in length. Their secondary structure includes four short double-helical elements and three loops (D, anti-codon, and T loops). Lineage: Bacteria; Bacillati; Actinomycetota. The record is from RNAcentral.
GGGCCCGUAGCUCAGCUAGGGAGAGCGCCGCUCCUUCUCGGAUCGGAGGUCGUAAGUUCGAGUCUUACCGGGUCCACCA